CCUCCUUUAAAGAAACCGGAAUAAGGUGUGAAAGCGCCCGCACAAUUUGCCUAAUCAUCGUAUAGAUAGACCGCGGGUCUGUAGCUCAGUUGGUUAGAGCGCACCCCUGAUAAGGGUGAGGUCGGAAGUUCAACUCUUCCCAGACCCACCACCUUCGCGCCUGUAAGGGCAACAAGGAAGAAAAGGGGCCAUAGCUCAGAUGGGAGAGCACCUGCUUUGCAAGCAGGGGGUCGGCGGUUCGAUCCCGCCUGGCUCCACCAGAAAAAAAAACA
Molecule: transfer RNA, 272 nt
Filed under: uncultured Chromatiales bacterium
Lineage: Bacteria; Pseudomonadati; Pseudomonadota; Gammaproteobacteria; Chromatiales
Description: partial 16S-23S ribosomal RNA intergenic spacer
Rfam family: tRNA (bases 75-148)
Source: RNAcentral